AGCUGGCGGCGCGCCUACACAUGCAAGUCGAACGAGAAUCCGGGGCACUCGGUAGUAAAGUGGCAAACGGGUGAGGAAUGCAUGGGUAACCUACCCUUGAGAAGGGAAUAACCCGCCGAAAGGUGAGCUAAUACCCUAUACGCUUCUCUUUUUAUGAAGAGGGAAGGAAAGCUAAGCCGUGGGCUUGGCACUCAAGGAGGGGCUCAUGCCCUAUCAGCUUGUUGGUGGGGUAACGGCCUACCAAGGCUACGACGGGUAGCUGGUCUGAGAGGAUGAUCAGCCACACUGGCCCUGAAAUACGGGCCAAACUCCUACGGGGAGGCACCAGUGAGGAAAAUUNGCCCAAUGGGC
This 351-nucleotide ribosomal RNA is filed under the name uncultured Nitrospirota bacterium. RNAcentral describes it as "bacterial SSU rRNA". It matches the Rfam family "Bacterial small subunit ribosomal RNA", at positions 35 to 376 of the family's 1533-position model. Lineage: Bacteria; Pseudomonadati; Nitrospirota. The record is from RNAcentral.